Orbicella faveolata is the source of this 882-nucleotide long non-coding RNA. The record is from RefSeq and is a predicted model, not a curated record. NCBI's taxonomy places the organism in Eukaryota, Metazoa, Cnidaria, Anthozoa, Scleractinia, Merulinidae.
AGAGGGAGAGUGUGAGAGUUUUGCAUGCAUGCUCCAACCAGUACGGCAUACAGGUUUUCUACUGUACAAAUAUCUGUACAAUAUUGCUGUAUAUUUGUACUGUUGUUUGGACGGUAUUUGCUGCAGUUUUCAAAAUGAAGCUGUAACUGCUGAUCUCAACAAUUUGAUAGCAUUUGUGAUCAGACAUUCAGUUAAGCAUUUUGUUGACCCACUGGGCAAACUUGAUAUGACCUUAGAAUGCUGAUGACAGGUUUUUAAAUCGUAAUGCAGUUAUCAGCAUCCAUCCUGAGGGUUGUCGCCCCUCAGCCAAUCCUUGAGGAUGGCAGGAGGUUGGUAGCAUUAACAUGCCCAGGGUCUUGUCAAUGAAAUGAGACAUCUACUUUCCUCAUGAAAUCUUUGACAAGUCUAUUAACUAAAAGGUCAGCGUCGGGGGUUUCAUUAAGAGCUGGGUAACAGGAAAAUUGACCAGCUGUGAGGAUAUUCUUGCCUGCCUGGUUUAGCCAUCUAGAGGAAUCAAUUUGUGUACCAUGCACUCAAGAGUGUAAAUUUGAUUGGUUAGGUUGCAGAAGAGCUUGCCCUUCCAAGAAGAGGAUGGACCCUAUUUCAAAAUAGAGACAAAAAGGGAGAGAUUAAGACCUCUACAAGGAAGACUCUGUCUUCACUUGGAAUAAAGCAUGGUGAUAUGCUUUUCUUGUCUCAGGAAAUUUCAGCAGCUGAUAAAGAGGUGCCAGCAAAUUCAGCUCACCUUACCUCAUCUAAUAAUGUCAAGGAAGAUGAAAUAGAUAGUUUUCUUUCCAAGCAAAAUGGUCUAAUCCAUAGAGAACGAGAUCCUCAGCUAUGUCAUCACAAUCCAAACAGCAAAUGUAUUCAUUGUGUACCUCU